RNAcentral lists this ribosomal RNA (445 nucleotides) under uncultured bacterium. RNAcentral describes it as "partial 16S ribosomal RNA". It matches the Rfam family "Bacterial small subunit ribosomal RNA", at positions 354 to 796 of the family's 1533-position model. The record is from RNAcentral.
GUGAGGAAUAUUGGUCAAUGGACGAGAGUCUGAACCAGCCAAGUCGCGUGAAGGAAGACGGUUCUAUGAAUUGUAAACUUCUUUUGUGCAGGAAUAAAGUGGGUUACGUGUAACCUUUUGUAUGUACUGUACGAAUAAGGAUCGGCUAACUCCGUGCCAGCAGCCGCGGUAAUACGGAGGAUCCGAGCGUUAUCCGGAUUUAUUGGGUUUAAAGGGUGCGUAGGUGGAUUGAUAAGUCAGCGGUGAAAGUUUGCAGCUUAACUGUAAAAUGGCCGUUGAAACUGUCGGUCUUGAGUGCAAAUGAGGUGGGCGGAAUGUGUUGUGUAGCGGUGAAAUGCUUAGAUAUAACACAGAACUCCGAUUGCGAAGGCAGCUUACUGGGAUGCAACUGACACUGAUGCACGAAAGCGUGGGUAUCAAACAGGAUUAGAUACCCGGGUAGUCC